Molecule: ribosomal RNA, 586 nt
Filed under: Ilyonectria destructans
Lineage: Eukaryota; Fungi; Ascomycota; Sordariomycetes; Hypocreales; Nectriaceae
Description: eukaryotic LSU rRNA
Rfam family: Eukaryotic large subunit ribosomal RNA
Source: RNAcentral
AGCAUAUCAAUAAGCGGAGGAAAAGAAACCAACAGGGAUUGCCCUAGUAACGGCGAGUGAAGCGGCAACAGCUCAAAUUUGAAAUCUGGCCCUCGGGUCCGAGUUGUAAUUUGUAGAGGAUGCUUUUGGUGAGGUACCUUCCGAGUUCCCUGGAACGGGACGCCAUAGAGGGUGAGAGCCCCGUCUGGUUGGAUACCGAUCCUCUGUAAAGCUCCUUCGACGAGUCGAGUAGUUUGGGAAUGCUGCUCUAAAUGGGAGGUAUAUGUCUUCUAAAGCUAAAUAUUGGCCAGAGACCGAUAGCGCACAAGUAGAGUGAUCGAAAGAUGAAAAGCACUUUGAAAAGAGAGUUAAAAAGUACGUGAAAUUGUUGAAAGGGAAGCGCUCAUGACCAGACUUGGGCUUGGUUGAUCAUCCAGGGUUCUCCCUGGUGCACUCUUCCAGCUCAGGCCAGCAUCAGUUCGCCGCGGGGGAUAAAGGCUUUGGGAAUGUGGCUCCUCCGGGAGUGUUAUAGCCCACUGCGUAAUACCCUGUAGUGGACUGAGGUUCGCGCAUCUGCAAGGAUGCUGGCGUAAUGGUCAUCAGCGAC